Small nuclear RNA from Papaver somniferum (opium poppy), 126 nucleotides. RefSeq annotates it as U5 spliceosomal RNA. The transcript has a single exon. NCBI's taxonomy places the organism in Eukaryota, Viridiplantae, Streptophyta, Magnoliopsida, Ranunculales, Papaveraceae. The record is from RefSeq and is a predicted model, not a curated record.
AGCCAUGCUGUAAGCACAAAGCGAACUAUUCUUUCUCCUUUUACUAAAGAAUACCGUGUGCUUGCCGUUUAUAAUGGCAAUGGCCAAACGAAAAAGUUUGUUGAGCCACGUUUGUUGAGACGUGGA